Long non-coding RNA from Musa acuminata AAA Group (dessert banana), 1762 nucleotides. RefSeq lists it as uncharacterized. The record is from RefSeq and is a predicted model, not a curated record. NCBI's taxonomy places the organism in Eukaryota, Viridiplantae, Streptophyta, Magnoliopsida, Zingiberales, Musaceae. The transcript is spliced from 6 exons.
UAUGCGGGUAAUUUAUGCGGUUACUGGCGCGCGGCCUGGGUUUCCCCGUUUCAAGAAGCCACUCGGCGUCUGUCGUCGGCCCUGCCGAUCCCACCGUCCGCUGCCUAUCGGCGGCGACCUCUGCGCCGAGGUGGAGGAGGCGGCACACGAUACCCGUAGGUCCGAAUCCUCUUCGCUCCAAUCAUCUCCUCCUCGUCACCGUUUGUGGCGUCGACGGACGCUGCACCCUUGCCCUAGCCCUAGCUCGCUGGUUGCCAUUUGAUUUUUAGAGAGAUUGGAUUCUUAUCACCAGAUGUAUACCUAAACUAAAGACCAACCAUGUUAAAUAUCCACAAGGGUGGGAGCUUACUGAGCCCACUCUUUGAGAACUUGAGGCAAAGAUGAGAAAAGGUUAUUUGUCCUCAUUGUUUUGGUUACUCUUUUUUUACCUUCUAUAUGUGCUGAAUGUACAUUUAAGAUUCAAUUUUGUCUUAUUUAUGAAAUCCACAUGCAUUUGUACCUGAAAAUGAUCCUCAAGAUGGGAACAGAAAAUGUAAAGCACCUUCGCCUAUUUUUUGUUUGGCUCAUCCAAAGAAAAUUACGCAUACAACCUUUGUCAUCAGAGGAAGGAAAUUUCCAAGGAAUUGCAUCAAUUCUGUCUGGAUCAGGGCCAUGCAGACCAUAAUCUGAUUGUAAAGGGGGAAAAGCCAGGUAAUGAACACCUUGCUGGCUGAUGUGCAUGCAGACAUGAGUUCACAAUUCUGCAACCACUUGCGUAUGGGGUCCCUAAACACCUGAGGAAAGAAAAGAUGAUAGAAAUGUCCACUGUGGUUGCAGGGACUGUCCAAGUGAAGAUUAAGUCCUUUGUGAAAUACACAAAUAAUUCAAGAUGUGCUGACAUACUUUGAUCCAAAUUUCUUGCAAGCUUUAGCCUUUAGACAAGAGCCAGUCCCUUGCAACUUGGUAGCAAAUUUGAUGGGGCUUACAUCAUUGGCCAUGUGCUAGGUUCACCUUGACUGUCAUCACUGCUAGCCUUUGAUGGUUCAUUCGCGUCAGCAUUUCGAUGACUUGGAUUUAUGAAUCUGUUGGCUCUCAUCACACCUCAACUACCGAGUUGCUGCAAAUUCCAGUAUGAUGGUGGUACUCUAGAGCAGACCUGUACUUGGAUGAUAUCUGGUGUUGUGGUAUCACAGCCUAAAGGCUAAGCAUUUCUUGGAAGACUACCUUGGUUUUGAGCAUAGCAUCCUUGGUUAUGUGGCUCUGGCUCACUUGGGUUUGUCCUUGCUUCUUCUUUGCUAUUGGUCUAUUCUAUCAAAUACCUCAACUUGCGAAAACCACAGCCUAUCUGAGGGCUUGGUUGAAGCAACAAAUGAUUACCCUUGAGGGGGCAAGGUAGGGUCUUGAAUUUGAUUGCCCUUGUGCCCCUGCAGGUUCAGGCUUGCUCAUCAAGGAUGCUGGAAAUGUCCCCUCUAUGUUUGGGAAGUGGCUGUGGUAGAGCUAUCAAUCCUUCUCCCUAAAGCAGCUAAUCAAGUACACUUUUCCUCCUUCCAAAUCUUUUGCAAAUUUUGUAAAGGGAAUUUUGCCAAUUCCUUGGUGUUUUAGGAACUCUUUUCAACAUAUUUUCUCUAUUCUUGUCGACAUUUGCUACAUCCCUAGGGCUGGUAAUUUUAUUAGCCGACCAUUGGAGGUCCCAAGGUUUUCAUUUUUUUUUUAAUGUCAUUACUGAUUGCUCAGUUGACCUGUAAUAACUUUAUACAGGCUAAUUAUAAAUUAUCUUUCGGAA